AGUGAACGCUGGCGGUAGGCCUAACACAUGCAAGUCGAACGGCAGCACAGUAAGAGCUUGCUCUUACGGGUGGCGAGUGGCGGACGGGUGCGGAAUACAUCGGAUUCUACUUUUUCGUGGGGGAUAACGUAGGGAAACUUACGCUAAUACCGCAUACGACCUACGGGUGAAAGCAGGGGAUCUUCGGACCUUGCGCGAUUGAAUGAGCCGAUGUCGGAUUAGCUAGUUGGCGGGGUAAAGGCCCACCAAGGCGACGAUCCGUAGCUGGUCUGAGAGGAUGAUCAGCCACACUGGAACUGAGACACGGACCAGACUCGUACGGGAGGCAGGAGUGGGGAAUAUUGGACAAUGGGCGCAAGCGUGAUCCAGCCAUACCGCGUGGGUGAAGAAGGCCUACGGGUUGUAAAGCCCUUUGUUGGGAAAGAAAAGCAGCAGGUUAAUACCCCGCUGUUCUGACGGUACCCAAAGAAUAAGCACCGGCUAACUUCGUG
This 491-nucleotide ribosomal RNA is filed under the name uncultured bacterium. RNAcentral's name for it is "partial 16S ribosomal RNA". It matches the Rfam family "Bacterial small subunit ribosomal RNA", at positions 29 to 507 of the family's 1533-position model. The record is from RNAcentral.